CAGCCUACCAGGCCGUUAAUGACGCUCAUGCACGAAAGUGCGGGGAUCGAACAGGAUUAGAUACCCUGGUAGUCCGCACAGUAAACGAUGAAUACUUGCUUUCGGCGAUACAUUGUCGGAGGCAAAGCGAAAGCGAUAAGUAUUCCACCUGGGGAGUACGCCGGCAACGGUGAAACUCAAAGGAAUUGACGGGGGCCCGCACAAGCGGAGGAACAUGUGGUUUAAUUCGAUGCUACGCGAGGAACCUUACCCGGGCUUGAAAGUUAGCGACGGAAGCUGAAAGGCUUCUUCCCUUCGGGGCGCGAAACUAGGUGCUGCAUGGUUGUCGUCAGUUCGUGCCGUGAGGUGUCGGCUUAAGUGCCAUAACGAGCGCAACCCUUUUCUCCAGUUACCAUCAUUCGGUUGGGGACUCUGGAGACACUGCCAUCGCAAGAUGUGAGGAAGGAUGGGAUGACGUCAAAUCAGCACGGCCCUUACGUCCGGGGCGACACACGUGUUACAAUGGGAGGGACAGAAAGCUGCGACUCGGUGACGAGGAGCCAAUCUCCAAACCUUCUCCCAGUUCGGAUCGGAGUCUGCAACCCGACUCCGUGAAGCUGGA
Molecule: ribosomal RNA, 601 nt
Filed under: uncultured bacterium
Lineage: Bacteria
Description: bacterial SSU rRNA
Rfam family: Bacterial small subunit ribosomal RNA
Source: RNAcentral